This 345-nucleotide long non-coding RNA is filed under the name Crocodylus porosus (Australian saltwater crocodile). RNAcentral's name for it is "lncRNA (ENSCPRG00005015070.1)". Lineage: Eukaryota; Metazoa; Chordata; Crocodylia; Crocodylidae. The record is from RNAcentral.
UCUAGACCUGCUGGUUGCUCUGCAGCACAGACAAACUGCCUUCAUUCCCACUCUGAUGGAAGAACCAGGAGGAAACUACUGACUUUAUGGAAGAAGUGGAUCUUGAUGCAAUAUAUGAAAGAACCAUUGCAAAAUCUGUGUGAUGCAUAGAGAGCAGCGUGAAAAAAGAUCAAAGAUGAAAAAGCAUGUAUGUGAAGUUAAGCCAAGCUGCUGCUCCUCUGCCAGUCUGGUUUUUGUCUUCUGGGGGAUUUGUGCCUAUUGAACUUCCUAAGUGUCUCAGAUGAAGAUUAAUUUGACUUUGAGGAUGGUUGGAGUUUCAGGUUAAGAGGGUGUACAACACAGAAG